This 423-nucleotide long non-coding RNA is filed under the name Salvia miltiorrhiza (redroot sage). RNAcentral's name for it is "long non-coding RNA (SMIL_LNC012555)". Lineage: Eukaryota; Viridiplantae; Streptophyta; Magnoliopsida; Lamiales; Lamiaceae. The record is from RNAcentral.
GCAAUUUUGGACUGUAUUGCCCUUAAUUUGGGCUGACCAGAUCGGGUUGGACGUGCGGGUUCGAUCAUACUUCUGGCACUAAUGUUAAAAUUUGUGCCAAAAGUGCCAACAUAAAGUAAAACAAAAAAAAUAAUAAGUAAUUUAGUACUUUUGACACUAAUGUUAUAAUUUGUGCUAAAAGUACCAAAUUACUUAGUUCAAAUCAGAAUAUUAGUGCCAAAAGUACCAACAGAAAAAAAAAAAAAAAAACGAGUAAUUUAGUACUUUUGGCACAAAUGACAAUAUUAGUGCCAAAAGUACUACUCCCUCCGUCCGCCAAAAGUGGACCAUUUUUACUAUAUCGGGCGUCUGCAAAGAGUAUACCACUUUCCUUUUAUAGAAAUGGUCCCACCAUCCACUUUAAUCUUUUAUCCUUACAAACAC